This 690-nucleotide long non-coding RNA is filed under the name Triticum aestivum (bread wheat). Its description in RNAcentral is "long non-coding RNA (TAES_LNC017630)". The record is from RNAcentral. Lineage: Eukaryota; Viridiplantae; Streptophyta; Magnoliopsida; Poales; Poaceae.
CGCCGCCACCUCCCACCCCUACCUCCGCGGUGGUCCUGCGCCCCCUCUACCCCGACCUCCGGCGACACUCCUCCCAUCCCGAUCUCCGCCGAUGGUCCUACGUCCUCACCACCCGACCUCCGGAGAAGCUCCUCCGACCCACCUCCCUCCCCGACCUCCGCUGCGCUCCCGCGCUGUUCACCGUGGUCACGCCCCCAUCCAUGCCGGUAGUGCAUGCUGGAUUAGGAGGUUGUACACGUACGUCUAUAUUUAUGUUCAAGUCGAGCUUCGUGAAUCUGAAGGCAUCUAUGAUCAAGAACCUAUUAAUUGCAUUCAAUUCAAUCUCACAUGUGUGUGCUACAUGCUGGAAGAAAUACUUAUCUUUUAAUUUGUAUAUAUGGCUGUGCGCACGUAUGUAUGUACUGGCACGUCUUGCCGGAACCUGAUUGGGAAGUCAGAUUCGCUAAAUCUCCACGCCCGUGUCUUCGUGCCAUGUAAGUCGCAACUCACGGCCUGUAUCAACAACACCAAUUAUAUUUCUUCUCUCUUUAUUAUAACUAAUGUCAUCAAAUCUGAUAGUCGUCUACAGAUGUUUUCCCUGUGGAUACUGAGAUGCAUGGCACCAUUUUGCAGAUACUUGGAGUAUAUAUCUAGCAUAUCAAGCCACCGGAGACAAGCAAUACUUCAUUGAAACAAUAACAACAAUAGCAU